RNAcentral lists this ribosomal RNA (440 nucleotides) under uncultured bacterium. RNAcentral's name for it is "partial 16S ribosomal RNA". It matches the Rfam family "Bacterial small subunit ribosomal RNA", at positions 338 to 795 of the family's 1533-position model. The record is from RNAcentral.
CCUACGGGUGGCAGCAGUGGGGAAUAUUGCACAAUGGGGGAAACCCUGAUGCAGCGACGCCGCGUGAGUGAAGAAGUAAUUCGGUAUGUAAAGCUCUAUCAGCAGGGAAGAAAAUGACGGUACCUGAGUAAGAAGCCCCGGCUAACUACGUGCCAGCAGCCGCGGUAAUACGUAGGGGGCAAGCGUUAUCCGGAUUUACUGGGUGUAAAGGGAGCGUAGACGGCAGUGCAAGUCUGGAGUGAAAGGCGGGGGCUCAACCCCCGGACUGCUCUGGAAACUGUAUGGCUGGAGUGCAGGGGAGGGAAGUGGAAUUCCUAGUGUAGCGGUGAAAUGCGUAGAUAUUAGGAGGAACACCAGUGGCGAAGGCGGCUUACUGGACUGUAACUGACGUUGAGGCUCGAAAGCGUGGGGAGCAAACAGGAUUAGAUACCCGUGUAGUC